GGAUUAGAUACCCUGGUAGUCCACGCCCUAAACGAUGUCAACUAGUUGUUGGGGAUUCAUUUCCUUAGUAACGUAGCUAACGCGUGAAGUUGACCGCCUGGGGAGUACGGUCGCAAGAUUAAAACUCAAAGGAAUUGACGGGGACCCGCACAAGCGGUGGAUGAUGUGGAUUAAUUCGAUGCAACGCGAAAAACCUUACCUACCCUUGACAUGCCACUAACGAAGCAGAGAUGCAUUAGGUGCUCGAAAGAGAAAGUGGACACAGGUGCUGCAUGGCUGUCGUCAGCUCGUGCC
This 294-nucleotide ribosomal RNA is filed under the name uncultured bacterium. RNAcentral's name for it is "partial 16S ribosomal RNA". It matches the Rfam family "Bacterial small subunit ribosomal RNA", at positions 775 to 1066 of the family's 1533-position model. The record is from RNAcentral.